UGACCUCGGAUCAGGUAGGGAUACCCGCUGAACUUAAGCAUAUCAAUAAGCGGAGGAAAAGAAACCAACAGGGAUUGCCCCAGUAACGGCGAGUGAAGCGGCAAGAGCUCAAAUUUGAAAGCUGGCUCCUUCGGGGUCCGCAUUGUAAUUUGCAGAGGAUGCUUCGGGAGCGGUCCCCAUCUAAGUGCCCUGGAACGGGACGUCAUAGAGGGUGAGAAUCCCGUAUGGGAUGGGGUGUCCGCGCCCGUGUGAAGCUCCUUCGACGAGUCGAGUUGUUUGGGAAUGCAGCUCUAAAUGGGUGGUAAAUUUCAUCUAAAGCUAAAUAUUGGCCGGAGACCGAUAGCGCACAAGUAGAGUGAUCGAAAGAUGAAAAGCACUUUGAAAAGAGAGUUAAAAAGCACGUGAAAUUGUUGAAAGGGAAGCGCUUGCGACCAGACUCGCUCGCGGGGUUCAGCCGGCAUUCGUGCCGGUGUAUUUCCCCGCGGGCGGGCCAGCGUCGGUUUGGGCGGUCGGUCAAAGGCCCUCGGAAGGUAACGCCCCUAGGGGCGUCUUAUAGCCGAGGGUGCAAUGCGACCUGCCUAGACCGAGGAACGCGCUUCGGCUCGGACGCUGGCA
Molecule: ribosomal RNA, 615 nt
Filed under: Penicillium solitum
Lineage: Eukaryota; Fungi; Ascomycota; Eurotiomycetes; Eurotiales; Aspergillaceae
Description: eukaryotic LSU rRNA
Rfam family: Eukaryotic large subunit ribosomal RNA
Source: RNAcentral